GACGAACGCUGGCGGCGUGCCUAAUACAUGCAAGUCGAACGCUUCUUUCCUCCCGAGUGCUUGCACUCAAUUGGAAAGAGGAGUGGCGGACGGGUGAGUAACACGUGGGUAACCUACCCAUCAGAGGGGGAUAACACUUGGAAACAGGUGCUAAUACCGCAUAACAGUUUAUGCCGCAUGGCAUAAGAGUGAAAGGCGCUUUCGGGUGUCGCGGAUGGAUGGACCCGCGGUGCAUUAGCUAGUUGGUGAGGUAACGGCUCACCAAGGCCACGAUGCAUAGCCGACCUGAGAGGGUGAUCGGCCACACUGGGACUGAGACACGGCCCAGACUCCUACGGGAGGCAGCAGUAGGGAAUCUUCGGCAAUGGACGAAAGUCUGACCGAGCAACGCCGCGUGAGUGAAGAAGGUUUUCGGAUCGUAAAACUCUGUUGUUAGAGAAGAACAAGGACGUUAGUAACUGAACGUCCCCUGACGGUAUCUAACCAGAAAGCCACGGCUAACUACGUG
This 508-nucleotide ribosomal RNA is filed under the name uncultured bacterium. Its description in RNAcentral is "partial 16S ribosomal RNA". It matches the Rfam family "Bacterial small subunit ribosomal RNA", at positions 28 to 507 of the family's 1533-position model. The record is from RNAcentral.